Molecule: ribosomal RNA, 467 nt
Filed under: uncultured bacterium
Lineage: Bacteria
Description: bacterial SSU rRNA
Rfam family: Bacterial small subunit ribosomal RNA
Source: RNAcentral
UGCCAGACUCCUACGGGAGGCAGCAGUGAGGAAUAUUGGUCAAUGGGCUUACGCCUGAACCAGCCAAGUCGCGUGAGGGAAGACUGCCCUAUGGGUUGUAAACCUCCUUUGUCAGGGAGCAAUUGGCGCUACGUGUAGCGUUAUCGAGAGUACCUGAAGAAAAAGCAUCGGCUAACUCCGUGCCAGCAGCCGCGGUAAUACGGAGGAUGCGAGCGUUAUCCGGAUUUAUUGGGUUUAAAGGGUGCGUAGGCGGAAUAUCAAGUCAGCGGUAAAAAUUCGGGGCUCAACCCCGUCGUGCCGUUGAAACUGAUGUUCUUGAGUGGGCGAGAAGUAUGCGGAAUGCGUGGUGUAGCGGUGAAAUGCAUAGAUAUCGCGCAGAACUCCGAUUGCGAAGGCAGCAUGCCGGCUCCACACUGACGCUGAGGCACGAAAGCGUGGGUAUCGAACAGGAUUAGAUACCCGGGUAA